RNAcentral lists this ribosomal RNA (497 nucleotides) under uncultured bacterium. RNAcentral's name for it is "partial 16S ribosomal RNA". It matches the Rfam family "Bacterial small subunit ribosomal RNA", at positions 28 to 507 of the family's 1533-position model. The record is from RNAcentral.
GAUGAACGCUGGCGGCGUGCCUAAUACAUGCAAGUCGAGCGAACAGACGAGGAGCUUGCUCCUCUGACGUUAGCGGCGGACGGGUGAGUAACACGUGGAUAACCUACCUAUAAGACUGGGAUAACUUCGGGAAACCGGAGCUAAUACGGGAUAAUAUAUUGAACCGCAUGGUUCAAUAGUGAAAGAGGGUUUUGCUGUAACUUAUAGAUGGAUCCGCGCCGCAUUAGCUAGUUGGUAAGGUAACGGCUUACCAAGGCAACGAUGCGUAGCCGACCUGAGAGGGUGAUCGGCCACACUGGAACUGAGACACGGUCCAGACUCCUACGGGAGGCAGCAGUAGGGAAUCUUCCGCAAUGGGCGAAAGCCUGACGGAGCAACGCCGCGUGAGUGAUGAAGGUCUUCGGAUCGUAAAACUCUGUUAUUAGGGAAGAACAAAUGUGUAAGUAACUAUGCACGUCUUGACGGUACCUAAUCAGAAAGCCACGGCUAACUACGUG